This 1401-nucleotide long non-coding RNA is filed under the name Homo sapiens (human). RNAcentral's name for it is "HSALNT0347907". Lineage: Eukaryota; Metazoa; Chordata; Mammalia; Primates; Hominidae. The record is from RNAcentral.
GAGAGCCUUUGGCUGCUUCUGAGACCGGCUGUGGGCUGCCACCGCUGAGCGGCGCGGAGGCUGCAGCGUUCCCUCUCAGGACAGAAAGCAGGCGUUGGGGACUGUUACUCGCAGCCUGCCAGGGGCAGCAGCCGCCCCAGGUUCAAGUGGCUAUGUGCCAGGAUACUCAGGCGCGGCUGUUGGCUGCCCAUGGGAGAGCCAGUGCUCUCCGCAGGUCCAAAGUGCAAGGCCGGGCUAUUCCCGGACUUGCCUAGGAGCAGGGGCCCCCAGCGCGUCUGGGAUUGCCCCGGCGCGUCGGGCGCGCGAACUUGUGCGCAAGGGAGAAGAGCGCUUACCAUGGAACAUGGUCUGCGGGAGGCGGGCGUAGUCAUGAUGACCGCAACUGGAGCAGGAGCAAGCUCUCACCGCCCAUAGUCACUCCCAGGACCCUGGUCUUCCGCGGAGUUGCCGAGUCUGUGUUGGGCAGGGUGAUCUCUGCAGCUGGUUCCUCUUACCCACGCCGCGACUGCAGUUUCAUCCAUCCCAAGGGGGGCGGCACACACUACGGCGUGGCUCUGCGCUUUGCCUUUUCCAUAACUUCCGUAGGAUCCGCCAGCAGUGUACUUUCAGUUUCUACUUUGCGCUUGGUCUGCAGGUUCAAUCUUUGGGAUCAUCAGCAUGGAAUCUUCAUUAUCCCCUCUCUCCUGGGCACCUGCUUCCCGCGCACCUGGAUGAGGACCAGAGGAAUUCGCGAAUUUCCGAAUCACCGCAGGAAAAACCAGCUGGCCUGAAUCAAAGCAAUUCUGGGUAAAAGACUUCCCAGAUGAUCUCUCAACGCCUUGGCAACGCUUGGCGACUGGGAGCUAGAACCAUGAGUUGUUAAUGUGUGCACGGAAGCCACAAGUGUGCAGGACGCAAGCUGGGUUAUUGGAAGCGGACGACACCAAGGAGGCGUUGCCGCGGAUGUGGUGGACGAUGCCAAGUCGUCUUUUAAAAAAGGAAGUGAAGAAUGAUUAAGAGGGUCACGCCCUCUACCACUCCAACCUCUCUAAUCAGUCUCUUUCUGCUCCGUCUGCUGUACAUGCACCUGCUCAGGUGAGACCUCAAGGAAAAAUAAUCCUGUGGGUCCACCUAAUCUGGCAGAGCAAGUCCUUACAGAGCAGGCUGCCCUCAGUGAUGAUGAGUUUUGGAUCUCCCAGAACAUCCCACCUCUUAAAUGUGUAGCGUCUUACAACCACAGUUGCUAACAGUAUGAGUUCUGCAGUUAUACAGAACUAAGUCCAUUAGCUGUGUGACCCAUGGCCAAAUAUUUUCCUUCUCUGUGCCUGCAUUUCUUCAUCUGCAAACUGGAAUAAUGAUAGCAACUACUUCAGAGGACUAUGCUAGAGUGCAAUGGCGCAAUCUUGGCUCACUGCAACCUCC